AUACGGAGGGGACAAGCGUUAUUCGGAAUCACUGGGCGUAAAGGACGCGUAGGCGGGUUAUUAAGUCGGGUGAGAAAUCCAAUGGCUCAACCAUUGAACUGCAUUCGAAACUGAUAACCUAGAGUAUGGAAGGGGCAGGUGGAAUUAGUGGUGUAGGGGUAAAAUCCGUAGAUAUCACUAGGAAUACCGAAAGCGAAGGCGACCUGCUGGGACAUUACUGACGCUGAGGCGUGAAAGCGUGGGGAGCAAACAGGAGUAGAUACCCCAGUAGUCC
RNAcentral lists this ribosomal RNA (274 nucleotides) under uncultured bacterium. RNAcentral's name for it is "partial 16S ribosomal RNA". It matches the Rfam family "Bacterial small subunit ribosomal RNA", at positions 523 to 796 of the family's 1533-position model. The record is from RNAcentral.